UAGGGAAUUUUGCGCAAUGGGGGAAACCCUGACGCAGCAACGCCAUGUGAGGGAUGAAGCAUUUCGGUGUGUAAACCUCUGUCAGCAGGGAAUAAAAGGCUUCUUCGGAGGCAUUUGAAUGUACCUGCAAAGGAAGCCCCGGCUAACUUCGUGCCAGCAGCCGCGGUAAUACGAGGGGGGCUAGUGUUGUUCGGAAUCACUGGGCGUAAAGGGAGCGUAGGCGGGCUCUUAAGUUAGGUGUUUAAUCCCGGGGCCCAACCCCGGACAGGCACCUAAAACUGGGAGUCUUGAAUAGUGGAGAGGUCAGUGGAAUUGGGGGUGUAGCGGUGGAAUGCGUAGAGAUCCCCAAGAACACCAGUUGCGAAGGCGGCUGACUGGACACAUAUUGACGCUGAGGCUCGAAAGCAUGGGGAGCAAACAGGAUUAGAUACCCCCGUAGUCC
Molecule: ribosomal RNA, 442 nt
Filed under: uncultured bacterium
Lineage: Bacteria
Description: bacterial SSU rRNA
Rfam family: Bacterial small subunit ribosomal RNA
Source: RNAcentral